Homo sapiens (human) is the source of this 480-nucleotide long non-coding RNA. The record is from Ensembl. Lineage: Eukaryota; Metazoa; Chordata; Mammalia; Primates; Hominidae.
CACACCUCCCUGUAUCCGCACCACUUUGCAAUGAGAAAUUUGCUGUUUCUCCUAGUGAGAGAGGGAGUCUAUUUCUUUACCCUUGGGCCUGGGCUGGCCUGGUGACUUGUUUUGACCAAUACAUGGAAGAAGUGACAUUAUGUGAGUUCUGCAGCUGAAGCUUUAAGAGGCCUUGAAGUUUCUCCUCACCUUCUUGGAACCUUGAGACCACCAUGCUGUGAGAAGCCUGGGCAUAUCUACUGGAGGCCGAGGGGCCACAUGACACGUCUAAAACUCAUACGUCAAGAUAUGCUUGAAAGCUGCACCCAUCAAGUGCGUCCUGAAUCUGACGAUUCACUAUCUUCACUUCCGCCAGUCUGCUCCAGGCCUCCAUCCUUUCUGGCCUAAAUGAACCCCAAAGCUGGCUUGUGUCCUGCAUCCAUCCACCACUCUUGCCCUUGUUUCACUUAUCUAUUGCUGUGAAAUAAACUUCAAAACCAA